CUGCUUUCAGGCUGUCCACUUUCGACAAGUACCUGGGCCUUUCCAGGAGUCGGAUCUGAGAAUUCCAGAAGCAUGUGAAGCAUGGGCUGGGCAAGCCGUGGGACUCAGGCUCUGGAAAAAACUAUGAAGACCACAAAAGUACUUCAACCCCUAAGGACCUUGAGACCCAGGGCAAACCAUUCCUGGUACAUGUGCAAGGCAUAUUUCAUAGAGGGACUGUGGGCUUUGGGGCCAGCCUAGCCCCCCAUCUCCUGUUGUAGGGCACAAUGGCACCUCCCUUACAGGGUUCUUACAAGGUUUCUGUGAAGAUAAUGCUAGUUAAGCAGUUUGCAUAGAGCCUGACACCAAUACGUAUGCACUAAAUAUGUUAAUGUUAUUUAUGACAUCAAUAAAACAUGUCAAUGUUUA
Molecule: long non-coding RNA, 408 nt
Organism: Suricata suricatta (meerkat)
Lineage: Eukaryota; Metazoa; Chordata; Mammalia; Carnivora; Herpestidae
Exons: 3
Source: RefSeq, a predicted model, not a curated record